AAGGGAGACCUAAUUCAGGUAUGGGACGAAAAAAAAGUAGUCGCUACCAAGAAUCAAUCCCAAAAGGUCGGAACGAGGUAUGUGGCUUUCAAACUAGGUUCUGGGUUCACACAAGACCUGAAUCAGGAACAAGGGCUAUUAGCUCAGGUGGUUAGAGCGCACCCCUGAUAAGGGUGAGGUCCCUGGUUCGAGUCCAGGAUGGCCCACCUGCACAGGUGGCAAAAACAAAGAAGCGAGGAAUCAGCACCUUAUCUUACUUAUAUAGUAAGAGAGAAUGCUGGCUCUGAGUAAAGAGUCCAGAGGAACCUUGAAAACUGCAUAGAGCUAGGUGAAAAAGCCAAAAAAGAAGACCGCAA
RNAcentral lists this transfer RNA (356 nucleotides) under Microcystis sp. BG28. Its description in RNAcentral is "16S-23S ribosomal RNA intergenic spacer". The stretch from base 133 to 206 matches the Rfam family "tRNA". The record is from RNAcentral. Lineage: Bacteria; Bacillati; Cyanobacteriota; Cyanophyceae; Chroococcales; Microcystaceae.